ACUUGAAUAGCUUAUUUUAGAGCGCAACACUGAAGAUGUUGAUGAGGUAUUAAAUAUCUUUGAGUA
RNAcentral lists this transfer RNA (66 nucleotides) under Aderitotermes sp. TB-2014. RNAcentral's name for it is "tRNA-Phe". Lineage: Eukaryota; Metazoa; Arthropoda; Insecta; Blattodea; Termitidae. The record is from RNAcentral.